GUAUCAUGGCUCAGGACGAACGCUGGCGGCGUGCCUAAUACAUGCAAGUAGAACGCUGAAGGAGGAGCUUGCUUCUCCGGAUGAGUUGCGAACGGGUGAGUAACGCGUAGGUAACCUGCCUGGUAGCGGGGGAUAACUAUUGGAAACGAUAGCUAAUACCGCAUAAUAGCAGUUGUUGCAUGACAACUGCUUGAAAGGUGCAAUUGCAUCACUACCAGAUGG
RNAcentral lists this ribosomal RNA (222 nucleotides) under uncultured bacterium. RNAcentral's name for it is "partial 16S ribosomal RNA". It matches the Rfam family "Bacterial small subunit ribosomal RNA", at positions 14 to 228 of the family's 1533-position model. The record is from RNAcentral.